This is an RNA transcript of Musa acuminata subsp. malaccensis (wild Malaysian banana), 1347 nucleotides long. It is a transcript of the gene named trihelix transcription factor ENAP1, with no coding region annotated. The record is from RefSeq and is a predicted model, not a curated record. NCBI's taxonomy places the organism in Eukaryota, Viridiplantae, Streptophyta, Magnoliopsida, Zingiberales, Musaceae.
GUGCGGUCACCGCCGCAGCGUGCGGACAGAAACCGGCGUGGUCAGGCACCGUUGGGCUCCGCGUUGGUCGCACCCGACCGCAGGUGACGUUACCGUCGGGGGGAGAGGAGGAAGUACACAUCAUGCACGGCCGACGGCAUUCCACGUUCCGCCUCACCGACCUUGUGGGGAUUCCUCCCAUUCUCUCUCUCCCUCUCCCUCUCCCUCUCCCUCUAUCCUGUUCCCAAUCCUUUCCCCUUCCGUUUCUACCGACCCUCCUCCUAACCCUGACCUUGUACCUCACGCCGAUCCAUGGAUUCCGGCCGCCGUCAUCUCCACCACCACCACCAUGCCGGCGGAGGAGGGCGGGAGGAUAUCUGGAGCGAGGACGCGACGGGCGCCCUCAUCGAUGCCUGGGGCGAUCGGCACCUCCGCCUCAGCCGGGGCAGCCUCCGGCAGAAGGACUGGAAAGAGGUGGCGGACGCCGUGAACGAGCGGCGGGAGGCGGUGGGGAAGCCCCCCAAGACCGACGCCCAGUGCAAGAACCGGAUCGACACCCUCAAGAAGAAGUACAAGAUCGAGAAGGCGAAGCCUGGGCCGUCGGAGUGGUCCUUCUUCUCGCGCCUCGAUCUCCUCAUCGGAGACGCCGCCACCGAGCCCUACCACCGCCCGACGCCAUCCUUAAGAUUGCAGCAUUCUCACCCCCUGCCUAAACGUCACCCUUCGCUCGUUUCAACCGUCAAGCAUCGGAACCCUAACGGGGCCGUGUAUUUGCGGGGAUCAUCAGAGAGCUCUCCCGAGUUCGGCGACGGCAAUGAUGACGAGGAUAUUGAAGCCGACGCAGAGGCGGACGAGGAUGAUGAUGAUGAGCAGGAGCGUAAGCUUAAUGGGAUGUUUGCCGGUGCAUUGGCCGGGAAGCGGCGAAGAGAUUGGGGGGUUUAUGGUUGUGGCAUGGGUGAUGGUGAUGGAGGCCACGGGCCGUUUAGUGAAUUGGCAAGGGCGAUCAUGAAAUUUGCUGAUGUUUAUGAGAGAGUGGAAAACUCGAAGCAGCGGCAGAUGAUGGAGUUGGAACUAAAACGGAUGGAGUUUGCAAAGGAUCUCGAGUUCCAGAGGAUGCAGAUGAUCAUUGAAGCUCAAAUCGAGGUGGAGAAGAUGAAGCGGCGAAAGAACACGUCUGGAUCUGGAAAGAGUUGAGUGGUGUUUGCAGCGUAAGCAAGCUGUCAUUUUAAUACCUGUGGCGUUUGUAGAUAAUGAGAAGGUCCAAUUUAUAAGAUUCUAUCGCACUUGGGUCAACGCUUUAAGCUACCACGGUAGGUAGGUAGGUAACCCCCGAGAUGGUGGUUUUAUUUCGUCACUGUUCAUGAUCUC